GGUACUGUGCGUUGAAAAAUAUG
This 23-nucleotide microRNA is filed under the name Panagrellus redivivus. RNAcentral's name for it is "prd-miR-7920-3p". Lineage: Eukaryota; Metazoa; Nematoda; Chromadorea; Rhabditida; Panagrolaimidae. The record is from miRBase by way of RNAcentral.